AUGACAGAUGAAACCAAGUCAACGGCUGAAGAACUCGAGGAAGAAAACAUUUCCCUUCCAAAUUAUAAGAAACGAAUCUUGAAAAUCCGGCGCCGGCAGCGGUCAAUCUCCGGUGAACUGGAUACUUUUUUCUCUUUCUCAUGGAAUCAAUGAUUCUGCAAACUCAACCAUUUCAAUUCAUGACCCCAAUUACUUCAAAAUUCAUUCCCACAAUUCGAUUUACUGCUUCCUCUGUAGCAUUCAAGCUCUUCUCAUCUUCAUCUUCAUCUUCAGCAGCCUCCAUUACCACAAAUACUCCUGUCAUAGAGCAAAACCCAUCUCCUGAACCAACUAUUUCUCCAAGAAAUGGGGUUGUAAAGGCUAGGGGUAGUAAAGGAAUUUUGGAAGCUCAGCUAAAAUUGGACUGGUUGGAGUCUUUGUCUUGCCCAUUUCCAUGUACCAAGCCUUUGAACACUGGUUGGGUUAUUGGGGUUGACCCGGAUACUUCGGGUGCUUUGGCACUCUUGAAACCAAAUCAACCUCCUCAGGUGUUUGAUUCUCCUCACUUGAAGGUGCUUGUUGGAAAAGGAGUGCGGAAACGGUUAGAUGCAAAAGCUAUUGUUCAGUUGCUUCAAAGUUUUGAAGCUCCUUUAGGAACAACUGUGUAUAUUGAACAAUCAACUCCGUAUCCACAAGAUGGUAAGCAGGGAUGGUGGAGUGGGGGAUUCGGCUAUGGACUAUGGAUUGGGUUGUUAGUUGCAUCUGGAUUUUCCGUUACUCCUGUGCCAUCAAGUGCAUGGAAGAGUGAGUUUCAACUUACAAGAGAACGCUCAAACAAGGAUUAUAGCAGGGAACUAGCAUCUUCAUUGUUUCCCUCUUUGAGUUCUUUAUUAAAGAGGAAGAAAGAUCAUGGUCGAGCUGAGGCUCUUCUCAUUGCUGCUUAUGGCAAAGGCAUCAAGCUAAAUUCUGAUUCUCUUUCCGCGGUGGAAAAUUAGAUGCCUUAGCAACCGGAGAAAAGCUGGUCAAUGAAUUCCAUCUUUUAUCAACUCCAACGCUUAGCAAUUAGUCUUCGAGGUUUUUCAAUCAAUUCGAAUUUUUCCAACUGACUCCAUGAAAUCUCAACGUAAGCUCUGGCGAAAUCGAACUCAUCCUUUCUGUGUUUAACUUAGUUGUUAGCUCUGUUGUAUAAAUAGUGUAGAUGCCUUCAUUAUAGGGAAGGGGAAUUAGAGACCUUAGUUCUUUGACCUAUAUUGUUUCAUCAUUGUAUUGAAUGAACAUUCAGCAUGAAAAACUCUGUGUUUUUUGUUUUGGCUCACAUACAUAUAUAACGGCAUCCAACAAUCGA
RNA transcript from Solanum dulcamara, 1324 nucleotides. It is a transcript of the gene named Holliday junction resolvase MOC1, chloroplastic-like, with no coding region annotated. Lineage: Eukaryota; Viridiplantae; Streptophyta; Magnoliopsida; Solanales; Solanaceae. The record is from RefSeq and is a predicted model, not a curated record. The transcript has 7 exons.